GACGAACGCUGGCGGCGUGCUUAACACAUGCAAGUCGAACGGAAAGGCUCUGCUUUUGUGGGGUGCUCGAGUGGCGAACGGGUGAGUAACACGUGAGUAACCUGCCCUUGACUUUGGGAUAACUUCAGGAAACUGGGGCUAAUACCGGAUAGGAGCUCCUGCUGCAUGGUGGGGGUUGGAAAGUUUCGGCGGUUGGGGAUAGACUCGCGGCUUAUCAGCUUGUUGGUGGGGUAGUGGCUUACCAAGGCUUUGACGGGUAGCCGGCCUGAGAGGGUGACCGGCCACAUUGGGACUGAGAUACGGCCCAGACUCCUACGGGAGGCAGCAGUGGGGAAUAUUGCACAAUGGGCGGAAGCCUGAUGCAGCAACGCCGCGUGCGGGAUGACGGCCUUCGGGUUGUAAACCGCUUUCGCCUGUGACGAAGCGUGAGUGACGGUAAUGGGUAAAGAAGCACCGGCUAACUACGUG
This 468-nucleotide ribosomal RNA is filed under the name uncultured bacterium. RNAcentral describes it as "partial 16S ribosomal RNA". It matches the Rfam family "Bacterial small subunit ribosomal RNA", at positions 28 to 507 of the family's 1533-position model. The record is from RNAcentral.